GAUGAACGCUGGCGGCGUGCCUAAUACAUGCAAGUCGAGCGAACAGACGAGGAGCUUGCUCCUCUGACGUUAGCGGCGGACGGGUGAGUAACACGUGGAUAACCUACCUAUAAGACUGGGAUAACUUCGGGAAACCGGAGCUAAUACCGGAUAAUAUAUUGAACCGCAUGGUUCAAUAGUGAAAGACGGUUUUGCUGUCACUUAUAGAUGGAUCCGCGCCGCAUUAGCUAGUUGGUAAGGUAACGGCUUACCAAGGCGACGAUGCGUAGCCGACCUGAGAGGGUGAUCGGCCACACUGGAACUGAGAAACGGUCCAGACUCCUACGGGAGGCAGCAGUAGGGAAUCUUCCGCAAUGGGCGAAGGCCUGACGGAGCAACGCCGCGUGAGUGAUGAAGGUCUUCGGAUCGUAAAACUCUGUUAUUAGGGAAGAACAAAUGUGUAAGUAACUAUGCACGUCUUGACGGUACCUAAUCAGAAAGCCACGGCUAACUACGUG
RNAcentral lists this ribosomal RNA (497 nucleotides) under uncultured bacterium. Its description in RNAcentral is "partial 16S ribosomal RNA". It matches the Rfam family "Bacterial small subunit ribosomal RNA", at positions 28 to 507 of the family's 1533-position model. The record is from RNAcentral.